UACGUAGGGGGCUAGCGUUGUCCGGAAUCAUUGGGCGUAAAGAGCGUGUAGGCGGUCCGGUAAGUCCGCUGUGAAAGUCGGGGGCUCAACCCUCGAAUGCCGGUGGAUACUGUCGGGCUAGAGUGCGGAAGAGGCGAGUGGAAUUCCUGGUGUAGCGGUGAAAUGCGCAGAUAUCAGGAGGAACACCUAUUGCGAAGGUAGCUCGCUGGGACGUAACUGACGCUGAGACGCGAAAGCGUGGGGAGCAAACAGG
This 253-nucleotide ribosomal RNA is filed under the name uncultured bacterium. RNAcentral describes it as "partial 16S ribosomal RNA". It matches the Rfam family "Bacterial small subunit ribosomal RNA", at positions 524 to 776 of the family's 1533-position model. The record is from RNAcentral.